CCGAAUGGGGAAACCCAGUGUGAUUCGUCACACUAUCAUUAACUGAAUCCAUAGGUUAAUGAGGCGAACCGGGGGAACUGAAACAUCUAAGUACCCCGAGGAAAAGAAAUCAACCGAGAUUCCCCCAGUAGCGGCGAGCGAACGGGGAGGAGCCCAGAGCCUGAAUCAGCAUGUGUGUUAGUGGAAGCGUCUGGAAAGGYGCGCGAUACAGGGUGACAGCCCCGUACACAAAAGCGCAUGUGCUGUGAGCUCGAUGAGUAGGGCGGGACACGUGGUAUCCUGUCUGAAUAUGGGGGGACCAUCCUCCAAGGCUAAAUACUCCUGACUGACCGAUAGUGAACCAGUACCGUGAGGGAAAGGCGAAAAGAACCCCGGCGAGGGGAGUGAAAAAGAACCUGAAACCGUGUACGUACAAGCAGUGGGAGCCCCACCAC
Molecule: ribosomal RNA, 434 nt
Filed under: Salmonella enterica subsp. enterica serovar 4,12:i:-
Lineage: Bacteria; Pseudomonadati; Pseudomonadota; Gammaproteobacteria; Enterobacterales; Enterobacteriaceae
Description: partial 23S ribosomal RNA
Source: RNAcentral